Molecule: ribosomal RNA, 465 nt
Filed under: uncultured bacterium
Lineage: Bacteria
Description: SSU rRNA
Rfam family: Bacterial small subunit ribosomal RNA
Source: RNAcentral
AGAAUCAACGCUGGCGGCGUGCCUAACACAUGCAAGUCGAACGAGAAAGUGGAGCAAUCCAUGAGUAAAGUGGCGACCGGGUGAGUAACACGUGACUAACCUACCUUCGAGUGGGGGAUAACCUCGGGAAACCGAGGCUAAUACCGCAUAACAUCGUGAGAUCAAAGCAGUAAUGCGCUGGAAGAGGGGGUCGCGGCUGAUUAGCUAGUUGGCGGGGUAAUGGCCCACCAAGGCGAAGAUCGGUAGCCGGCCUGAGAGGGCGCGACGGACCGACGACCUGGAACGUGAAACACGGUCCAGACUCCUACGGGAGGCAGCAGUGGGAAUUUUGCGCAAUGGGGGAAACCCUGACGCAGCAACGCCGCGUGGAGGAUGAAGUCCCUUGGGACGUAAACUCCUUUCGACCAAGACGAUAAUGACGGUACUGGUGGAAGAAGCACCGGCUAACUCUGUGCCAGCAGCCGC